UGCAACCAGGAAAGCUGAUUUUUAAAAUUCGAUAUUAACUACAUUUUACAGAAGAUGAAACCAGAGCUCAAGGUCAUGUUUUAGUAAAGUGAAGGUUGUGGAAUUCAGAACCAGAUUUAUCUGACUCCAAGGUCCAAGCUUUUUACCCUCUACCAUCCACCCAGAUGUAUUUCCUGACUCAUUCAGGAGUUUAACUUUAAUUGUGAUAGCAAUAUUCUCCCAUCAGCUAAGUGAACCAGCUUGGAAAUAAGUGUAUUAAUGAAUUUCUUCACUAAAAUUUAAAAAUGCCUUUGUAUUU
Molecule: long non-coding RNA, 298 nt
Filed under: Homo sapiens (human)
Lineage: Eukaryota; Metazoa; Chordata; Mammalia; Primates; Hominidae
Description: non-protein coding lnc-FOXD4L3-7:1
Source: RNAcentral